ACCGAGUGCAUUGAUGUGUACAUGUACUCCAACCUUCUCAGGGGGCUGAAGUAGGAGGAUGGCUUGAGCUCAGGAGUUUUAGACAGCUUGGGCAACACAGCAAACUCUCUCUUAU
RNAcentral lists this small RNA (115 nucleotides) under Marmota monax (woodchuck). The record is from RNAcentral. Lineage: Eukaryota; Metazoa; Chordata; Mammalia; Rodentia; Sciuridae.